CCUACGGGAGGCUGCAGUGGGGAAUAUUGGACAAUGGGGGCAACCCUGAUCCAGCCAUGCCGCGUGUGUGAAGAAGGCCCUCGGGUUGUAAAGCACUUUCAGUGAGGAAGAACGCCUGGUGGUUAAUACCCAUCAGGAAAGACAUCACUCACAGAAGAAGCACCGGCUAACUCCGUGCCAGCAGCCGCGGUAAUACGGAGGGUGCGAGCGUUAAUCGGAAUUACUGGGCGUAAAGCGCGCGUAGGUGGCUUGAUAAGCCGGUUGUGAAAGCCCCGGGCUCAACCUGGGAACGGCAUCCGGAACUGUCAAGCUAGAGUGCAGGAGAGGAAGGUAGAAUUCCCGGUGUAGCGGUGAAAUGCGUAGAGAUCGGGAGGAAUACCAGUGGCGAAGGCGGCCUUCUGGACUGACACUGACGCUGAGGUGCGAAAGCGUGGGUAGCAAACAGGAUUAGAUACCCCUGUAGUC
Molecule: ribosomal RNA, 465 nt
Filed under: Vreelandella stevensii
Lineage: Bacteria; Pseudomonadati; Pseudomonadota; Gammaproteobacteria; Oceanospirillales; Halomonadaceae
Description: partial 16S ribosomal RNA
Rfam family: Bacterial small subunit ribosomal RNA
Source: RNAcentral